RNAcentral lists this ribosomal RNA (489 nucleotides) under uncultured bacterium. RNAcentral's name for it is "partial 16S ribosomal RNA". It matches the Rfam family "Bacterial small subunit ribosomal RNA", at positions 30 to 507 of the family's 1533-position model. The record is from RNAcentral.
UUGAACGCUGGCGGCAGGCCUAACCCCUGCCAGUCGAACGGUAACAGGAAGCAGCUUGCUGCUUUGCUGACGAGUGGCGGACGGGUGAGUAAUGUCUGGGAAACUGCCUGAUGGAGGGGGAUAACUACUGGAAACGGUAGCUAAUACCGCAUAACGUCGCAAGACCAAAGAGGGGGACCUUCGGGCCUCUUGCCAUCGGAUGUGCCCAGAUGGGAUUAGCUAGUAGGUGGGGUAACGGCUCACCUAGGCGACGAUCCCUAGCUGGUCUGAGAGGAUGACCAGCCACACUGGAACUGAGACACGGUCCAGACUCCUACGGGAGGCAGCAGUGGGGAAUAUUGCACAAUGGGCGCAAGCCUGAUGCAGCCAUGCCGCGUGUAUGAAGAAGGCCUUCGGGUUGUAAAGUACUUUCAGCGGGGAGGAAGGGAGUAAAGUUAAUACCUUUGCUCAUUGACGUUACCCGCAGAAGAAGCACCGGCUAACUCCGUG